GGGAGAGAUAAGGAGAGCGAGAUACAAAGAGACAGACAGGGAGAGGGAGAGACAAGGAGACAGGCAAGGAGAGGAAUAAACAAGGAGACAGACAAGGUGAGUGAGAAAGAGAGGGAGAGACAAGGUGAGUGACAGACAAGGAGAGGGAGAGACAAGGAGACAGACAAAAAGAGGAACAAUCAAGGAGACAGACAAGGAGAGGGAGAGACAAGGAGACAGACAAGAUGAGUCAUAGACAAGGAGAGGGAGAGACAAGGUGAAUGACAGACAAGAAGAGUGAGAUACAAGGAGACAGACAAGGAGAGGGAGAGACAAGAAGACAGACAAGGUGAGUGAUGGAGAGGGAGAGUCAAGGAGACAGACAAGGUGAGUGACAGGCAAGGUGAGGAGAGGGAGAGACAUGGUGACAGACAAGGAGAGUGACAGACAAGGAGAGGGAGAGAUAAGGAGCCACACAAGAUGAGUCAUAGACAAGGAGAGGGAGAGACAAGGUGAAUGACAGACAAGGAGAGGGAGAUACAAGGAGACAGACAAGGUGAGUGACAGACAAGGAGAGGGAGCGACAAGGUGAGUGACAGACAAGGAGAGGGAGAGUCAAGAAGACAGACAAGGUGAGUGACAGACAAGGAGAGGGAGCCACACAAGAUGACAAACAGACAGACAAGGAGAGUGACAGACAAGGAGAGGGAGAGAUAAGGAGCCACACAAGAUGAGUCAUAGACAAGGAGAGUGAGAUACAAGGAGACAGACAAGGAGAGUGACAGACAAGGAGAGGGAGAGUCAAGGAGACAGACAAGGUGAGUGACAGACAAGGAGAGGGAGCCACACAAGAUGACAAACAGACAGACAAGGUGAGUGACAGACAAGGAGAGGGAGAGACAAGGAGAGGAACAAACAAGGAGACAGACAAGGUGAGUAACAGACAAGGUGAGUGACAGACAAAGAGAGGGAGAGAUAAGGAGAGUGAGAUACAAAGAGACAAACAGGGAGAGAAAAAGGAGAAAAGGGGAGGGAGAUACAAGGAGAGGAACAAACAAGGAGACAGAGAAGGUGAGUGACAGACAAGGAGAGACAGAGACAGGCAAGGAGAGGAACAGACAAGGAGACAGACAAAAAGAGGAACAAUCAAGGAGACAGACAAGGUGAAUGACAGACAAGGAGAGGGAGAGACAAGGAGACAGACAAGGUGAGUGACAGACAAGGAGAGGGAGAGACUAGGAGACAGACAAGGUGAGUGACAGACAAGGAGAGGGAGAGACAAGGAGACAGACAAGGUGAGUGACAGACAAGGAGAGGGAGAGACAAGCAGAUGGAGAGACAAGGAGACAGACAAGGAGAGGAAGAAACAAGGAGAGAGACAAGGUUAGUGACAGACAAGGUGAGUGACAUCAAGGAGACAGACAAGGAGAGGGAGAGAUAAGGAGACAGACAAGGAGAGGGAGAGACAAGGAGACAGACAAGGAGAGGAACAAACAAGGAGACAGACAAGGUGACUAACAGACAAGGUGAGUGACAGACAAGGAAACAGACAUGGUGACUGACAGACAAGGAGAUAGACAAGGAGAGGCAGAGACAAGGAGACAGGCAAGGAGAGGAACAGACAAGAAGACAGACAAGGAGACGGACAAGGUGAGUGACAGACAAGGAGCGGGAGAGACAAGGAGACAGGCAAGGUGAGUGACAGACAAGCAGAGGGAGAGACAAGGAGACAGACAAGGUGAGUGUCAGACAAGCAGAGGGAGAGACAAGGAGACAGGCAAUGAGAGGAACAGACAAGGAGACAGAUAAGCGGCCUUUGUCGGCAUUUAGUGGCCCUGAUCAGCAUUUGUUGACAUUUACCGGCCCUGAUCAGCAUUUGUCGGCAUUUACCGGCCCUGAUCAGCAUUUGUCGGCAUUGACCGACCGUGUACAGCAUUGGGACAGGAGGGCUGACAAUUUUUUGUCGCAAUCCACCUUGUCUGCCUUUUGCCGAA
This is a long non-coding RNA of Ictalurus punctatus (channel catfish), 1973 nucleotides long. The record is from Ensembl. NCBI's taxonomy places the organism in Eukaryota, Metazoa, Chordata, Actinopteri, Siluriformes, Ictaluridae.